RNAcentral lists this transfer RNA (72 nucleotides) under Camelus dromedarius (Arabian camel). It matches the Rfam family "tRNA". From Rfam's summary of the family: Transfer RNA (tRNA) molecules are approximately 80 nucleotides in length. Lineage: Eukaryota; Metazoa; Chordata; Mammalia; Artiodactyla; Camelidae. RNAcentral also lists the same sequence under 1 other name. The record is from Rfam by way of RNAcentral.
GAGGGUAUAGCUCAGUGGUAGAGUGUGUGCUUUGCACGCAUGACGACCUGGGUUCAAUCCCCAGUACCUCUA